CAGAGACAAGUCCAGUCCAUUUCUCAGUUUAAUCCAGACUCUAUGUCUUUCAAUGUCAACACAAACAAACAUUCAGUUGGAAUCAAUCAGCUCACAGUGCCUAAUCCUUCUCCUUUCAGACAAAGAGUUAAUUUUGACCCAGCCACAGGUUAUGUAUUCUAUAGAUACUGCAAAAAGUCUGGGCACUUAAUUGAUAAGUGUUACAAGAUUCAUGGGUAUCCACAAAAUAUCAAAUUUAACAAGUGAAGGAGACCUGCUGCUGCUCAUAUCACUACUGGUGUGGAUUUCCCUUCUUCCGAAGGAAAUAUGUCUGCUCCUCAUGGAAAUCC
This 329-nucleotide long non-coding RNA is filed under the name Nicotiana benthamiana. RNAcentral's name for it is "long non-coding RNA (NBEN_LNC016156)". Lineage: Eukaryota; Viridiplantae; Streptophyta; Magnoliopsida; Solanales; Solanaceae. The record is from RNAcentral.